This 107-nucleotide small nuclear RNA is filed under the name Capra hircus (goat). The record is from RNAcentral. Lineage: Eukaryota; Metazoa; Chordata; Mammalia; Artiodactyla; Bovidae.
GUGCUCGCUUUGGCAGCACAUAUACUAAAAUUGGAAUGAUACAGAGAAGAUUAGCAUGGCCCCUGCACAAGGAAGACAUGCAAAUUCAUAAAGCGUUCCAUAUUUUA